GUUUAAUACAAAACUCUCGUGUAUAUUCAUACAUGUACGUACUUAAAGGAAAAAGGAAACCACGAAUAUUUCAUAUUAGAGGUACGUUUUAAAAGUAAUCUACGUUUCAGCGAUUAAUACAAUUUUUUUCAUGUUUUGUGAAUGUUAUUCAUAUGGAGUAUUGUUAAAGUUUCCGCGUUCACUAACCAUAACGGCCUCGUACUUAAUUUACAUGUGACUUUCAAGGUUAACUAAAGAUACAUACGUAUAAGCUUCUUCAAUUUCGUAUAUUACAUGUUCAUAAGUCUACUUUUUUAAGUAAUAAAUUUACAAGAUGCCAUAAAUAGAAAUUGUUAAAAAAAGAAAAAAUCGGUAAUACAAUAUAGUAGGAUCAAAUUUGUUGCAAUGAGAUUUUUGAAUAUUUUAAUUGAACUAUUUGUUUCAAAAUAUAGUAUUUAUAUUUAAUUUAUCUUAUCUAAUAUUUAUAUCUCAUAUUUAUUAAGAAAUCUACAUUUUCGAAGUAAAAUAUUUUGUGCAAAAGAUUACAUCAAAAGUAUCGUCUGUGCAUGCGUGAGCAGUUACAUUUUACCGCGAACCUUUUCUGUUUUAAUGCGCAGAUGCAGAAAUAGGAAUGUAACCAGAAAUAAGAAAUGCUUGACGAUAAAACUGUUCAUCCAAGAAUCGAGAGGUAUUACAUCGUUUCUGUUUAAGGAUUCUAUUUUCCACGAGCUAUUGCAAGUGAUAUGUGAAAGGUGAUAUUCAGAAGUGGAGUAUACAUUAUACAACUGGUGCUCGUAGAAGUGGGCUGGAUGAUAAAUCUUCCUGCUGAAUCAAAUAAAAGCAAAGGUGUUCUCAUGCAUAAAUUCCGCACGCGUGCUAUGAUGUACAUAUACCGAUGAGAUAGUACUUAUAUGAUCAUAGCCAUUGUACAGUUCUGGUUGGUGGUCAAGAUUUCAAAGUGCAAUACUUCGUUCUCAUGGUUAACCAGGCAUGUCAUUUUUUCACUUUAGCCAGAGACAAGAACCUGGCUCCACGACAUUUCUCUGCUUCCUGGAUCUUAGAUAGAUAUCUUGUUGUAGUAUAUUAAAGCGUACCGCGUAACAUUGGUAGAGAAACAAAAACAUGAAAAUUCAGAAAGGAAGUUUCGUUACCGAUGGCAAAACAUCCCUGCUGAAGGCAGAACUUUUGGCACUUUUUCUAUGAGAUGCACUUUAGAUAACAACAAAUGCAAGUAUCAUAGAUCCUGCAUAUUUUGAGCAAAGUGAAACAGCCACGCGCGCUGAGUAUGGCGUCCAGCAGUGUACUGCUCAAACGAACGAAGCAGUUCCCGCCGUUGCUUACCUGUUUGGUACCACCAUAGGAAUACUUUCCGCCACCUAGUGUUCAGUAUUCCGUUGCAUACGUGUGCAAUCUAUUUCUACUCUACCGACAAACUUUUAUACUGCCUUUUAAAAAUUAAUCUGCUAUAGCAUUGUCAACACUAGCGUAUUUUCUAUAAUAGCUAUGCAAUUUGAUCUAAUAUAUUUCAAUUAU
Bombus pyrosoma is the source of this 1512-nucleotide long non-coding RNA. RefSeq lists it as uncharacterized. The record is from RefSeq and is a predicted model, not a curated record. Lineage: Eukaryota; Metazoa; Arthropoda; Insecta; Hymenoptera; Apidae. The transcript is spliced from 5 exons.